RNAcentral lists this unclassified non-coding RNA (321 nucleotides) under uncultured fungus. Its description in RNAcentral is "partial contains 5.8S ribosomal RNA and internal transcribed spacer 2". The stretch from base 1 to 133 matches the Rfam family "5.8S ribosomal RNA", at positions 22 to 154 of the family's 154-position model. The record is from RNAcentral. Lineage: Eukaryota; Fungi.
UGGUUCUGGCAUCGAUGAAGAACGCAGCGAAAUGCGAUAAGUAGUGUGAAUUGCAGAAUUCAGUGAAUCAUCGAAUCUUUGAACGCACAUUGCGCCCCUUGGUAUUCCAUGGGGCAUGCCUGUUCGAGCGUCAUUUGAACCCUCAAGCUCUGCUUGGUGUUGGGUGUUUGUCCUGCCUUUGGCAUGGACUCGCCUUAAAGUAAUUGGCAGCCAUGGUAUUCGGCUUUGAGCGCAGCACAUUGCGUACUUACAGCAGGUCCAUUGGCAUCCAUAAGCCCUUUUUUUACUCUUGACCUCGGAUCAGGUAGGGAUACCCGCUGA